Molecule: ribosomal RNA, 507 nt
Filed under: uncultured Thiotrichaceae bacterium
Lineage: Bacteria; Pseudomonadati; Pseudomonadota; Gammaproteobacteria; Thiotrichales; Thiotrichaceae
Description: bacterial SSU rRNA
Rfam family: Bacterial small subunit ribosomal RNA
Source: RNAcentral
UCCUACGGGAGGCAGCAGUCGGGAAUAUUGGACAAUGGGCGCAAGCCUGAUCCAGCAAUACCGCGUGUGUGAAGAAGGCCUGCGGGUUGUAAAGCACUUUCAGUGGGGAAGAUAAUGACGUUACCCACAGAAGAAGCACCGGCUAACUCCGUGCCAGCAGCCGCGGUAAUACGGAGGGUGCAAGCGUUAAUCGGAAUUACUGGGCGUAAAGCGUGCGUAGGCGGUUAUUUAAGUCAGAUGUGAAAUCCCCGGGCUCAACCUGGGAACUGCAUCUGAUACUGGGUAACUAGAGUGUGGGAGAGGAGAGUGGAAUUUCCGGUGUAGCGGUGAAAUGCAUAGAGAUCGGAAGGAACAUCAGUGGCGAAGGCGACUCUCUGGACCAACACUGACGCUGAGGUACGAAAGCGUGGGUAGCAAACAGGAUUAGAUACCCUGGUAGUCCACGCCGUAAACGAUGUCAACUAGCCGUCAGGCCCGCUUUAGGGUUUGGUGGUGGAGCUAACGUAU